ACUGAGACACUGCCCGGACCUCCACGGAGGGCUGCAGUAACGGAUAUUGGGCAAUGGGCGAAAGCCUGACCCAGCAAUGCCGCGUGCAGGAUGAAGCCCCUAGGGGUGUAAACUGCUGUCAGGGGUCAGAAAGCUGGUUUCGGCCAGUUGAUCAACCCCAGAGGAAGUCACGGCUAACUUCGUGCCAGCAGCCGCGGUAAAUACGAAGGUGGCAAGCGUUAUUCGGAAUCAUUGGGCUUAAAGGGCACGCAGGCGGAACAGUGUGUGUUGUGUGAAAUCCCCCGGCUUAACCGGGGAAUUGCACAGCAAACUGCUGUUCUUGAGGCAGGUAGGGGUGCAUGGAACUCUUGGUGGAGCGGUGGAAUGCGUAGAUAUCAAGAGGAACGCCAGAGGUGAAGACGGUGCACUGGGCCUGUCCUGACGCUGAGGUGCGAAAGCGUGGGGAGCGAACGGGAUUAGAUACCCCGGUAGUCCACGCCGUAAACGAUGUCUACUAGGUCGUGGGUGUUCUGACACAUUCACGGCCGGAGCAAAAGUGUUUAGUAGACCGCCUGGGGAGUACGGCCGCAAGGUUAAAACUCAAAUGAAUUGACGGGGGCUCACACAAGCGGUGGAGCAUGUGGAUUAAUUCGAAGCAACGCGCAGAACCUUACCUGGGUUUGACAUGCUUGUAUGCCUUCUCUGAAAGGAGUUAGGUUGCCUUCGGGUGAAACUUGCACAGGUGCUGCACGGCUGUCGUCAGCUCGUGUCGUGAGAUGUCGGGUUAAGUCCUUUAACGAGCGAAACCCUUGCCGUUAGUUGCCAGCGAGUAAUGUCGGGGACUCUAACGGGACUGCCGGUGUUAAACCGGAGGAAGGUGGGGAUGACGUCAAGUCCUCAUGGCCUUUAUGCCCAGGGCUUCACACGUGCUACAAUGGCAAUUACAGAGCGACGCGAUACCGCGAGGUGGAGCAAAUCGCAAAAAAAUUGCCUCAGUUCGGAUUGCAGGCUGGCAAUUCGCCUGCAUGAAGUCGGAAUCGCUAGUAAUCGCGUAUCAGCAAUGACGCGGUGAAUGUGUUCCUGAGCCUUGUACACACCGCCCGUCAAGUGAUGGAGGCCNGGGAGUACCCGAAGUCGGGUUGCUAACCUUUGGGAGGCGCCUGCCGACGGUAAGUUCGGUGAC
Molecule: ribosomal RNA, 1162 nt
Filed under: uncultured organism
Description: bacterial SSU rRNA
Rfam family: Bacterial small subunit ribosomal RNA
Source: RNAcentral